UACGUAGGGCGCACGCGUUGUCCGGAAUUAUUGGGCGUAAAGAGCUCGUAGGCGGCUUGUCACGUCGGGUGUGAAAGCCCGGGGCUUAACCCCGGGUCUGCAUUCGAUACGGGCUAGCUAGAGUGUGGUAGGGGAGAUCGGAAUUCCUGGUGUAGCGGUGAAAUGCGCAGAUAUCAGGAGGAACACCGGUGGCGAAGGCGGAUCUCUGGGCCAUUACUGACGCUGAGGAGCGAAAGCGUGGGGAGCAAACAGG
This 253-nucleotide ribosomal RNA is filed under the name uncultured bacterium. RNAcentral describes it as "partial 16S ribosomal RNA". It matches the Rfam family "Bacterial small subunit ribosomal RNA", at positions 524 to 776 of the family's 1533-position model. The record is from RNAcentral.